Non-coding RNA from Pelobates cultripes (western spadefoot toad), 3424 nucleotides. The record is from the annotation of a GenBank genome assembly. Lineage: Eukaryota; Metazoa; Chordata; Amphibia; Anura; Pelobatidae.
AUAUAUAUUUUAUAUUGCCUCAUUUUUCAUUGCAUUACUCUAUUCUCUUUGAGAUCUCUCUUAUGUAUUACUAUGUGCUUACAUCUGCCGGGCAUGUGCGGAGGACUUUUGGAUGCAACGCAACAUCACAGGAAGGACUAGAGUGACGCAGCGUUCCAGACGUGAGCCUGACGACGGGUACCUGGAAGACAGCGAAAACCGAAACCGCCUCAUUGGAAAUAGCCAGAAAUGACAUCACAUCAACACUAAUGGCUGGAAGUGAAGCACACCUGUUCGGACGUAUACUGUAUGUAUACCACAAUGAUGGAGGGAGUUGGACAGCGCUGGAAGAAGGCUGAGAAUAGGCAAAAAGCGUCUGCUGCAUAUUUAUUCUUGCUCUACUAUUUCUACCUGACUCCUAGGUUAUUUUAUUUAGGGGGUAAGGACUUAUUUAUUUUACUAACCAUCCUAUAAGUACCCAGUGAGGUCUCUAUAUACAUAAAUAUAUAUAACUAUAUAAAAAAAAAAAAUAUAUAUAUAUAUAUAUAAUAUAUAUAAAUUUAAUCUCCUUAUGUAUAUUUUAUCUUAAUAAAUUUUUGUGUGGAACUACCUGCAUUCCUUAUCCUUGAGAUCUGCAUCAUUUAGCUCUUAGAGGCACCUUUGAGCCAUUUAUACAGAGCCUGAUACAGCUCUGAAUCAUGUGAGUGAGAGUCCUAGUUUUAUUCCAUCCACAUUUGUGUAUACAGUUCAUACUGUGUUUCUUUUCCAUCUAUCUUUUAGACAUUGUACUACUACCAUUGAUUUGUUUCAAUGUAUGUAUUGAUUUCCUGUGUUACACCUAUCCACUGCAUGCACCUUCUACUGGUAUAUUUCACUUUAUUUAUUUAUAUGUUUUUAUGAGUGUUGUGGAGCACUUUUAUAUACCAGUUUUUGCACGUUCCUGGCACUAUUUUAGGGAAGCUCCUCACACACUGUUACCUUUGCUAGAUACGUAUAUUUAUUUGCCAUCUUUGAAAUAUGUUGUUUCCCUCUAACUCCACUUUCUGUUUAUGUAUUCACGGUUCUUUUAACUUCUAUAAAAACUUAACUUAUGUUCUCAAAAAUAACAUUUUUUGUGACACAGUCUCUGUUACGCUUAGUAAUAUAUUUUCUUGACCUUUUCAAGACCUUAAUGCCUGAACAGUUCUGUACUUCUGCAAAUUUAAUGCACUGUAUAUAUUAACACAAAUAUCUAACGCUAAAAAAACAAAACCAUUUCCUCUUAUCUUCAACUUAUACAUUUUUUACAUUACUCUUUAAACAUAAAUGAUAAAAAAUAAUAUUUCUAAGUCAAUGUGCUUCCGAAGUGCGAUAAUCAAUUGCCAAUUUUUCUGCAUUCCUUUUAAAAACUGCAGUGACUACUAAGUAAUGUACUUUUGAACUUUGCGUGUUCCCACCAAACUAUAUGCCUCAAAUUAUUGUAUAAAGUACAUUUAGCUAAAUCUUUGAACAAUGUUAAAUUGGAUAAAAAGAAAUUUAAAAUAUAAACUAAAUGCGGCAGCUUUAAAUAUACAAACUUAUAAUACAUCACAGCAGUCAUUUAUUUUAACAUAGGGAUUUUCAUCAUAAAACUGAUCAAAUGCAACAUUUUUUACAGCUAAUAAACUCCUCACAGUGUGGAGCGUCUUAUUAAACCGCGCCAGUCUAAAAUUAGAACCCAUUUCGACGAGCAGUACCUCUUGUAGGGUCUUUGUGUGAUUAAAUGAUAAAAGCUUUAGAGUUAAUGGAAAAUAUAAAUCAUUGCAAUCUCAAUAACAGGACUUUGUCUCCCAAAUCAUUUCACUUUCAUCACAUAUUUCCUUAUCACAAUUAGCGGUAGGACAAAUGAGUCAGAGUUUUGCAUACUGAGGAAUCUUUGCAGAGCUCAGAACUGCAGGGAGUAAUGUAGGGUAAAUAAAGCAACAAUUCAUGGCCCCUGUUGAGGACCUGACAGUAUUCUCUGUAAUGAACACGGUCCUUCAAUGGGGUUUUACAGAGCUGUUUACAUGUCAGCAGUCUAUCUCACCACUAUUGUACCCUGGUAUUGCUUCAAAUCUAUGAUUGCUUUGCUAUUCAACCAUAACAAGACACAUAAAGUGAUUGUGCUUUUUAAAAACAUUGGCCUAGAUUUACCCUCUAGAAAAUAAGAUUUAGCAAUAUUUUUGAUUCUGAGUUAAAAAAAAAAUUGAGCGUGGUAUUUGUAACGUGUUUAAAAUCCAAUGGCAAAAUGGGGAAAAAAACAAAUAGGAGCUUAUUUAUUAAACCGCGAAUUGUAGUGAUGUUAAAACUGAAUUUACUAAAUCUGAGAGGAAGAAUUUUUUCAACUUUCCUUUUUUUUUUCAAAGUUUUUCGCUUAACUACAUUUUGCUGUUUAGUAAAUAACCUGAUACAAUUUACCAGUAACUAUGAAACUACUGGAUAAUUGUGUCAUGUUAUUUAAUACACACAGUCUAGUAGACUGAAAGAGAUAGCCAAACUGGAAAAGAGUAUUGAAGCACAAUUUGUGAUACAGCGCAUGUUCUUUCCAGGUCAGGGUAAAGAUUAGUACUUUAUAGGGUUGCAAUAUUCACUAUAUUUUCUUGACCAUGUAUCACUUCUUUAUAUUGAUGGUCUUAACAUGAAAAGUGAUGUCCUGUAGUAAAUGCAAUGUAUAUGUUAUAAUAUAUGAUUUUGUUUUUCGAUUUUUAAGGUGCUGCCCAUCAAUGUAUAUGUGUCCAGGAAAGAAUAAUAGACCUGCAAUCCACAGAUAUAUACAUUUAAUUCAACUUCCAUAUUAUCCAAAGCUGGGAGGUAUGGACAGGAGUGGAAUGCAAGCAAUGAAACACAUGUCACUGUCGAUGCCCAUAAUGGACAAUCCCAUCUGCAUAGAAGUGGUGUUGCCUACAGAAGGGGCAUGUCAGCCUGACUUACUACCAACCUCCUGCCAGCCCCGCUCAAGGCAGAAUAUGAAGAGAGCACUGUUGAAGCACCCUUCGCCCUACUUGAGUGUACCUAAUUAAGCACUUGUGCUGUGCUGGCUGGGGAAUAGCUCCCUGGUUUUACCAGGGAACAAAAUCAGGGUGGUGGGUCAUUACCCCAAAAUCAAGACUUUCCCAUCCAAACAGGGAUAUGUGGGUUAAUUAGUAGUAUAUUGACCACCAAAUUGCAAUAUUUAAACUAUUAUAUAGCUUGGAAACCCUCUCCAGCUUUAACUGUUAUGACUUGUAUUUUGUACUUGCUAGUGAAAGAGUCUGUCUGCGUUCAGUGAGUUACUCCCUUGAACGCUUUCUGUACAGACAAACAAAAACCCCUUCACUUUUUUGUGCUAUAGACUAUGGCACGGUAAAAAUAGUUAACGUUUAUUUCAGACUUAAAAUGUUUUGAUUUUUGAAGAACAACAUGAAAACAUUUUUUUUUCCAAUGAGGCUGUCAAAUUGAAAUAGUUGAG